This 409-nucleotide ribosomal RNA is filed under the name bacterium. RNAcentral describes it as "partial 16S ribosomal RNA". It matches the Rfam family "Bacterial small subunit ribosomal RNA", at positions 355 to 776 of the family's 1533-position model. The record is from RNAcentral.
UGGGGAAUAUUGCGCAAUGGACGAAAGUCUGACGCAGCAACGCCGCGUGAGGGAUGACGGCCUUCGGGUUGUAAACCUCUUUCAGCAGGGACGAAGCGAGAGUGACGGUACCUGCAGAAGAAGGACCGGCCAACUACGUGCCAGCAGCCGCGGUAAUACGUAGGGUCCGAGCGUUGUCCGGAAUUAUUGGGCGUAAAGGGCUCGUAGGCGGUUCGUCACGUCGGGAGUGAAAACUCGGAGCUUAACUCCGAGCCUGCUUCCGAUACGGGCAGACUAGAGGUAGGCAGGGGAGAGCGGAACUCCUGGUGUAGCGGUGGAAUGCGCAGAUAUCAGGAAGAACACCGGUGGCGAAGGCGGCUCUCUGGGCCUUACCUGACGCUGAGGAGCGAAAGCGUGGGUAGCGGACAGG